GGUUACUGCUAUCGGAGUUCGAUUAAGCCAUGCGAGUCUAAAGGUUUNUUNGGAAACCUUGGCGGACUGCUCAGUAACACGUGGAUAACCUACCCUUGGGACUGGAAUAACCCCGGGAAACUGGGGAUAAUANNGNAUAGGUCAGGGAUGCUGGAAUGCACCUUGAUCCAAAGNUCCGGCGCCCANGGAUGGNUCUGCGGCCUAUCAGGUAGUAGUGGGUGUAACGUACCUACUAGCCAACGACGGGUACGGGUUGUGAGAGCAAGAGCCCGGAGAUGGAUUCUGAGACACGAAUCCAGGCCCUACGGGGUGCAGCAGGCGCGAAACCUUUACAAUGUGCGAAAGCAUGAUAAGGGAACUCCGAGUGCCAGCAUCUAAUGUUGGCUGUCCUUGUGCCUAAAACGCACAAGAUAGCAAGGGCCGGGUAAGACCGGUGCCAGCCGCCGCGGUAACACCGGCGGCCCGAGUGGUAGCCGCUAUUAUUGGGUCUAAAGGGUCCGUAGCCGGUUCGAUAAGUCCUCUGGGAAAUCCGGUUGCUUAACAAUCAGACUGCCAAGGGAUACCGUCGAACUUGAGACCGGGAGAGGUAAGAGGUACUUCAGGGGUAGGAGUGAAAUCUUGUAAUCCCUGGGGGACCAUCUGUGGCGAAGGCGUCUUACCAGAACGGGUCUGACGGUGAGGGACGAAAGCUGGGGGCGCAAACCGGAUUAGAUACCCGGGUAGUCCCAGCCGUAAACGAUGCUCGCUAUGUGUCAGGUACGGUGUGACCGUAUCUGGUGCCGUAGGGAAGCCGUGAAGCGAGCCACCUGGGAAGUACGGCCGCAAGGCUGAAACUUAAAGGAAUUGGCGGG
Molecule: ribosomal RNA, 851 nt
Filed under: uncultured archaeon
Lineage: Archaea
Description: bacterial SSU rRNA
Rfam family: Archaeal small subunit ribosomal RNA
Source: RNAcentral